AUACGUAGGGGGCGAGCGUUGUCCGGAUUUACUGGGCGUAAAGGGUGAGUAGGCGGUUAUAUAUGUCAGAUGUAAAAGGCACAGGCUUAACUUGUGUAAGCAUUUGAAACUGUAUAACUUGAGAGCAGGAGAGGUAAGUGGAAUUCCUAGUGUAGCGGUGAAAUGCGUAGAUAUUAGGAGGAACACCAGUGGCGAAGGCGACUUACUGGACUGUAACUGACGCUGAGUCACGAAAGCGUGGGUAGC
Molecule: ribosomal RNA, 246 nt
Filed under: uncultured bacterium
Lineage: Bacteria
Description: partial 16S ribosomal RNA
Rfam family: Bacterial small subunit ribosomal RNA
Source: RNAcentral